Pseudophryne corroboree (corroboree frog) is the source of this 376-nucleotide long non-coding RNA. RefSeq lists it as uncharacterized. The transcript has 3 exons. NCBI's taxonomy places the organism in Eukaryota, Metazoa, Chordata, Amphibia, Anura, Myobatrachidae. The record is from RefSeq and is a predicted model, not a curated record.
GGGAACUGAGCCUAGCACAAUGCAAGCAGAAGUAGCAGGAAGAAAAGAAAAAUCCUGUUUACAGAUACUGUAGUAUCCUCUAUGCAGGAAAACAGAACGGUGGCACCAAGCGGAUAACAGGAAAUUGGUUAUUUUACAAAACAUCACUGAUACAGUAUUUUAUGGUUACUGACGUAGCGGCGGGAGGAGGAGCAGAGGACCCAGCGUGGUGCGGUGUACGUCAUCGGUCCCCGACGGCCGCAGAGGAGAGAGGUAGCAGCAGGUGGGAGAAGCUGUGGGCGGCGGUCGGGGAACGAUAUGAACGGCCCGCACCGCAAGUGGAUGAUGUCAUCCUGGCCCACUACAACGCCACACCUGAAUGUAAUUCAGCACGUAG